GCUGUUGUUUUCUUGGUUGUCCUCACAGCCGGCCUCUUCCUCCUGUCAGAAGCUGCUAAAGAUUCCGUCUCUCACAGUUGAAGAGUAAAUAUGAUAAAAAUGACAGACCUCUACAUGCUUUGUUUACAGAAGAAUCCUCAUCCUCCAUCUUGUAGACGUCUCCUUCAUCUGCCCUAAAC
Molecule: long non-coding RNA, 179 nt
Organism: Hyla sarda
Lineage: Eukaryota; Metazoa; Chordata; Amphibia; Anura; Hylidae
Exons: 3
Source: RefSeq, a predicted model, not a curated record